ACACUGGUACUGAGACACGGACCAGACUCCUACGGGAGGCAGCAGUGAGGAAUAUUGGUCAAUGGCCGGAAGGCUGAACCAGCCAAGCCGCGUGAGGGAGGAAGGCGCAGAGCGUCGCAGACCUCUUUUGCCGGGGGACAAAAGGCCGGACUCGUCCGGUCCUGAGGGUACCCGGAGAAAAAGCAUCGGCUAACUCCGUGCCAGCAGCCGCGGUAAUACGGAGGAUGCGAGCGUUAUCCGGAUUCAUUGGGUUUAAAGGGUGCGCAGGCGGGCCUUUAAGCCGGCGGUGAAAUCGCGGGGCUCAACCCCGCCGAGCCGUCGGAACUGGGGGCCUUGAGUGCGGCGGAGGCAUGCGGAAUGCGCGGUGUAGCGGUGAAAUGCAUAGAUAUCACGCAGAACCCCGAUUGCGAAGGCAGCGUGCCGUGCCGCCACUGACGCUGAGGCACGAAAGCGCGGGGAUCGAACAGGAUUAGAUACCCUGGUAGUCC
Molecule: ribosomal RNA, 488 nt
Filed under: uncultured bacterium
Lineage: Bacteria
Description: bacterial SSU rRNA
Rfam family: Bacterial small subunit ribosomal RNA
Source: RNAcentral